Molecule: ribosomal RNA, 362 nt
Filed under: uncultured bacterium
Lineage: Bacteria
Description: bacterial SSU rRNA
Rfam family: Bacterial small subunit ribosomal RNA
Source: RNAcentral
GGUGAAUGCUGGCGGCGUGGAUAAGUCAUGCAAGUCAAGGGGGCCCGCAAGGGCAACCGGCAAACGAGGUAGUAACACGUAGGUAGACCCCCCAGAGUCGGGCAUAGCCAGCCGAAAGGUUGGGUAAUUCCCGAUAGUCCCGAAAGGGUAAAGGUUUUUCGCUCUGGGAGUUGCCUGCGUAGUAUCAGCUAGUUGGUAGGGUAAUGGCCUACCAAGGCUACGACGCUUAGGGGAGCUGAGAGGCUGACCCCCACGAUGGAACUGCGACACGGUCCAUACUCCUACGGGAGGCUGCAGACGAGAAUAUUCCGCAAUGGGCGAAAGCCUGACGGAGCGACGCCGCGUGAUUGAUGAAGUGCUUC